AUCCAGUUGACGAGUUCUAAAUAGGAUGAAACACCUGUCCUGAAU
Non-coding RNA from Schistosoma mansoni, 45 nucleotides. The record is from Rfam. NCBI's taxonomy places the organism in Eukaryota, Metazoa, Platyhelminthes, Trematoda, Strigeidida, Schistosomatidae.